Molecule: ribosomal RNA, 875 nt
Filed under: uncultured archaeon
Lineage: Archaea
Description: bacterial SSU rRNA
Rfam family: Archaeal small subunit ribosomal RNA
Source: RNAcentral
UAUCGGAUUGAUACUAAGCCAUGCGAGUCAUCGUAGUAAUACAAGGCAGACGGCUCAGUAACGCGUAGUCAACCUACCCUAUGGACGGGAAUAACCUCGGGAAACUGAGUAUAAUGCCCGAUAGAACACUAUUCCUGGAAUGGUUUGUGUUCCAAAUGAAUGUCGCCGUAGGAUGGGACUGCGGCCUAUCAGUUUGUUGGUGAGGUAAUGGCCCACCAAGACUAUUACAGGUACGGGCUCUGAGAGGAGUAGCCCGGAGAUGGGUACUGAGACACGGACCCAGGCCCUAUGGGGCGCAGCAGGCGAGAAAACUUUGCAAUGUGCGAAAGCACGACAAGGUUAAUCCGAGUGGUUUGUGCUAAACGAACCUUUUGACAGUCCUAGAAACACUGUUGAAUAAGGGGUGGGCAAGUUCUGGUGUCAGCCGCCGCGGUAAAACCAGCACCUCAAGUGGUCAGGAUGAUUAUUGGGCCUAAAGCAUCCGUAGCCGGCUCUGUAAGUUUUCGGUUAAAUCUGUACGCUCAACGUACAGGCUGCCGGGAAUACUGCAGAGCUAGGGAGUGGGAGAGGUAGACGGUACUCGGUAGGAAGGGGUAAAAUCCUUUGAUCUAUUGAUGACCACCUGUGGCGAAGGCGGUCUACCAGAACACGUCCGACGGUGAGGGAUGAAAGCUGGGGGAGCAAACCGGAUUAGAUACCCGGGUAGUCCCAGCUGUAAACUAUGCAAACUCAGUGAUGCAUUGGCUUGUGGCCAAUGCAGUGCUGCAGGGAAGCCGUUAAGUUUGCCGCCUGGGAAGUACGUACGCAAGUAUGAAACUUAAAGGAAUUGGCGGGGGAGCACCACAAGGGGUGAAGCCUGCGGUUCAAUUGGAGUC